This 329-nucleotide unclassified non-coding RNA is filed under the name uncultured bacterium. RNAcentral's name for it is "contains 16S-23S intergenic spacer region". The record is from RNAcentral.
GAUUCAACGUAGAUCCCGAGAAUUUGACGUACGAGCCUCCACGUCGGCCUCAGAGCGACACUCGUGAACAGCCACAGCAGCAGCGACCAAUCCCACAGCAACCAGUUGCGCCCCAGCAGGGGGCACAAGGGCAACAGGAGUUUCCUUUCGGUGUGGUUCCACCCCCCCAGCAAGCCGCCCCACAACAAGAUGGGCAUAUGCCUCCGCCUCCUUUCAGGCGAACAAUCUUUGAGCAUACUUUCGCAAUUCCACUCCCACCAGCGGCGUUCCCUCCACCACACCCGCAGCCAGUGAAUCCUUCUACUCAAACCCAGCCUGAAAUGCGUCAA